ACGGCAGCACAGAGAGCUUGCUCUCGGGUGACGAGUGGCGGACGGGUGAGUAAUGUCUGGGAAACUGCCCGAUGGAGGGGGAUAACUACUGGAAACGGUAGCUAAUACCGCAUAACGUCGCAAGACCAAAGUGGGGGACCUUCGGGCCUCUCACCAUCGGAUGUGCCCAGAUGGGAUUAGCUAGUAGGUGGGGUAACGGCUCACCUAGGCGACGAUCCCUAGCUGGUCUGAGAGGAUGACCAGCCACACUGGAACUGAGACACGGUCCACACUCCUACGGGAGGCAGCAGUGGGGAAUAUUGCACAAUGGGCGCAGCCUGAUGCAGCCAUGCCGCGUGUAUGAAGAAAGCCUCGGGUUGUAAAGUACUUUCAUCGAGGAGGAAAGCGUUGUGGUUAAUACCCCCAGCGAUUGACGUUACUCGCAAAAGAAGCAC
RNAcentral lists this ribosomal RNA (434 nucleotides) under Kluyvera sp. Its description in RNAcentral is "bacterial SSU rRNA". It matches the Rfam family "Bacterial small subunit ribosomal RNA", at positions 66 to 493 of the family's 1533-position model. The record is from RNAcentral. Lineage: Bacteria; Pseudomonadati; Pseudomonadota; Gammaproteobacteria; Enterobacterales; Enterobacteriaceae.